Molecule: ribosomal RNA, 460 nt
Filed under: uncultured bacterium
Lineage: Bacteria
Description: partial 16S ribosomal RNA
Rfam family: Bacterial small subunit ribosomal RNA
Source: RNAcentral
CCUACGGGAGGCAGCAGUGAGGAAUAUUGGUCAAUGGACGAGAGUCUGAACCAGCCAAGUAGCGUGAAGGAUGACUGCCCUAUGAGUUGUAAGCUUCGUGUAUAUGGGAAUAAAAUGUUCCACGUGUGGCAUUGUGUAUGUACCAUAUGAAUAAGGAUCGGCUAACUCCGUGCCAGCAGCCGCGGUAAUACGGAGGAUUCGAGCGUUAUCCGGUUUGAUUGGGUUUAAUGGGAGCGUAGGUGGAUUGUUAAGUCAGUUGUGCAAGUUUGCGGCGCAACCGUAAAAUUGCAGUUGAAACUGGCAGACUUGAGUACAGGAGAGGUGGGCGGAAUUCGUGGGGUAGCGGUGGAAUGCUUAGAUAUAACGAAGAACUCCGAUUGCGAAGGCGGUUCACUGGACUGCAACUGACACUGAGGCACGAAAGUGUGGGGAUCAAACAGGAUUAGAUACCCUUGUAGUC